UACAGAGGUCUCAAGCGUUGUUCGGAUUCAUUGGGCGUAAAGGGUGCGUAGGCGGCGCGGUAAGUCGGGUGUGAAAUCUCGGGGCUUAACUCCGAAACUGCAUUCGAUACUGCCGUGCUUGAGGACUGGAGAGGAGACUGGAAUUUACGGUGUAGCGGUGAAAUGCGUAGAUAUCAGGAGGAACACCGGUGGCGAAGGCGGGUCUCUGGGCCGUAACUGACGCUGAGGAGCGAAAGCGUGGGGAGCGAACAGG
This 253-nucleotide ribosomal RNA is filed under the name uncultured bacterium. RNAcentral describes it as "partial 16S ribosomal RNA". It matches the Rfam family "Bacterial small subunit ribosomal RNA", at positions 524 to 776 of the family's 1533-position model. The record is from RNAcentral.